UACGUAGGGGGCAAGCGUUAUCCGGAUUUACUGGGUGUAAAGGGAGCGUAGACGGCGAUGCAAGUCUGAAGUGAAAGGCGGGGGCCCAACCCCCGGACUGCUUUGGAAACUGUAUAGCUGGAGUGCAGGAGAGGUAAGUGGAAUUCCUAGUGUAGCGGUGAAAUGCGUAGAUAUUAGGAGGAACAUCAGUGGCGAAGGCGACUAUCUGGACAGCAACUGACACUGAGGCACGAAAGCGUGGGGAGCAAACAGG
RNAcentral lists this ribosomal RNA (253 nucleotides) under uncultured Eubacteriales bacterium. Its description in RNAcentral is "uncultured Clostridiales bacterium partial 16S ribosomal RNA". It matches the Rfam family "Bacterial small subunit ribosomal RNA", at positions 524 to 776 of the family's 1533-position model. The record is from RNAcentral. Lineage: Bacteria; Bacillati; Bacillota; Clostridia; Eubacteriales.